Long non-coding RNA from Haemorhous mexicanus (house finch), 232 nucleotides. RefSeq lists it as uncharacterized. The transcript is spliced from 2 exons. The record is from RefSeq and is a predicted model, not a curated record. Lineage: Eukaryota; Metazoa; Chordata; Aves; Passeriformes; Fringillidae.
GUGAUGCUCCCAAACAGGGCAUUGGAGGAGACUCAGCUCAGCAAAGCUGCAGGUAGAGCAGAACUCGUUGCCACUGUUUUCCAUAUGUUCCCCUCUAUGGGGGCCUGACUGGACCUCGACCUGAGGAAGAUGCGGAAUGGAAACUUAAUGGAGAAACAAGUCCCAACCCAGAUUCUAUGAGCUGCACUUUGGUCCUAUCAAGACAGGAAGGCAGCUGCAUGAGAGGUGGAAA